Molecule: ribosomal RNA, 620 nt
Filed under: Nipponocypris temminckii (dark chub)
Lineage: Eukaryota; Metazoa; Chordata; Actinopteri; Cypriniformes; Xenocyprididae
Description: partial 16S ribosomal RNA
Rfam family: Bacterial large subunit ribosomal RNA
Source: RNAcentral
CGCCUCUUUAUCAAAAACAUCGCCUCCUGCAACUAAACUGAGUAUAGGAGGUCCAGCCUGCCCAGUGACUACGGGUUCAACGGCCGCGGUAUUUUGACCGUGCAAAGGUAGCGCAAUCACUUGUCUUUUAAAUAGAGACCUGUAUGAAUGGCCAAACGAGGGCUUAACUGUCUCCCCCUUCCAGUCAGUGAAAUUGAUCUAUCCGUGCAGAAGCGGGUAUAAAUAUACAAGACGAGAAGACCCUUUGGAGCUUAAGGUACAAAAUUCAACCACGUCAAGCAAAUCAACGAAAAGCAAGAACUUAGUGGAAUAUGGAGUUUUACCUUCGGUUGGGGCGACCGCGGAGGAAAAACAAGCCUCCGAGUGGAUUGGGCUAGAUCCCUAAAACCAAGAGAAACAUCUCUAAGCCGCAGAAAAUCUGACCAAAAAUGAUCCGACUAAUAAAGUCGAUCAACGAACCAAGUUACCCUAGGGAUAACAGCGCAAUCCUCUCCCAGAGUCCAUAUCGACGAGGGGGUUUACGACCUCGAUGUUGGAUCAGGACAUCCUAAUGGUGCAGCCGCUAUUAAGGGUUCGUUUGUUCAACGAUUAAAGUCCUACGUGAUCUGAGUUCAGACCGG